CAUGGCUGGUGCAGCUGACAGAGAAGAAGCAACUGACCCACACAAACAUUUGUGUGCUGUACAGCAGUGCAGAUGCUGGCGGGAAAAGUAUCACGUUUUUCUGCAAUUUGUGCCCGCUGGGUGUGAAAAAACAAGUCCGGACGUCCACCACAUCACUGUGGAAUUUGAAGCGACACAUCGAGUUGAAUCAUUCGGCCAUGUCUUGAGAAGUAUCUGGAAGUGACUGCGUAUAAGAGGACGGGAGCCCAAAACAUAAACCAGUGACGGCAGUUUCGGACAAUAGACGAUGCCUCAUCCAGCUGUGGAGGAUGACCCCAACCACCCUGUGCGGAAGCCUGUCGUUUUUUUCUGCUGUAAGGGAAUGAUGGAUGGCAUCAUACUGCUGCUCCUCCUCUGGCUCCUCAUUCAGGUCGGCUUCAUCAAGAAUUUGGAAGGUAUGACAUUUAGGUUAAUGAGUGUGUGGAGUGUGUUGGAGGGAGGACAGGUGAAGAAAGAUUGAUUCCUAGGAUAAAAGGUGAGCUGAAAUUAUAUUACUGUGAAUCUGUUGACCUGUUUUGUUGCAGGUUAAACACUAAUAUUUACUGGAAAUGUUCUUUACAGUGUAUAUGUGUCAGUAGAAUUAGUAGUUCAUCUAGUCACACAACGAUUGUGCAAAAUCAAGAAACAACAUAAACAACUUUUGAAAAACUAGAAAUAUAGUUUCCCAGUCCCCUGGAUACUGGAUUCUCCAGAGCAACUAAUAAAGCUUCCAGCAAGUAGAUUUUGUUUUACAGUAACAAUCAGCUCAUUGGAACUGAAAUUCCGAUUCAACUGGUUACAAACAAAUAAUGGUUUGAAUGAACAAACAAACUCUGGCACUAUUAACGGAGAAUACAUCCUCCUGGGAGGGAAGAAAAUUCACAGGAAAAGCAGCGAAAUGCAGUUGUUGCAAGAACAAGAACUUUACUGCAAUCCUCGCAAAAUCGACCAUAUCAUGAAUUUUAGAUUUAAAAUUGUCUGUAUCCAAAAUGGUUCUUGAUACUGAGUGAAUAUACAAUAAAAAAAUGCAACAAAAUAAAUUUAGGACAUGCUCUGGAGGCCCAGUGACACUGUCAUCAUAGGUCAAAAGUCUUUAUACACACAACUAACAUACACUACUCACAAUAAGUUAGGGAUAUUGUGAGAGACUCAGUGGAUGUCAUACAAACGGUGUUUGUUUCACUUCAGAGAUUUUUGGGAUAGGGAGGCAAUUGUAUUGGGGUGAUAGACACACCUCAUUUUGUGUUUUCCACGUAAUGGUCUCACUGUGUACAGUGCGCCUUACAUAUUGGGGCCAAAACCAAAAAAUACUAAAAGACAACCCUUUUCAAUGUGACAUCAAUUUCAACAUUCUGUAGGUAUAAAAAGCUGGUAUUGUCAGUAAGUCAUUCCAAGUUCAUCAUUCAAACAGCCAUGAACACACGACAUCACUUAACAGACAAGCAGAGCCACCUGGCCAUAGCGUGCCUUUGGGUCGGUGGCAGGCAGUCAAAUGUUGUUCGUGAACUUGAUGUGUCUCGAAGUGUCAUCAGCAGACUUGCAUCAAGACACAGAACUACUGGCAGAGUUCGUGACAGACCCAGAAGUGGAGCCCCAUGAGUGACAGACUGCAACGAUGACCAGUACCGAAGGACCUAUGCACUCAGACAUCGUUAUACAACUGCCACACAGCUGCAGGCCUGUUUAUGAGAUGUGAGGGGUACUACGGUUUCCAGACAAACCAUUCGCAACCAACUCCACCGCUUUGGCUUGUGCAGGUGACUCCACUGACACCAAGACACCGCUGUGAACGUUUGCAGUGGACACAAGAUCAUGUGACCUGGACAAUGCAGCAGUGAUCUACUGUCCUGUCCAUUGAUGAGUGUCGGGUCACCUUGCACAGAAAUGAUGGUUGUCAGCAUUGCUGGAGAAGACGAGGUGAGCGAUACGCCAAGGUCAACACGGUCCCCAGGGUUCGCUUUGGUGGAGGAGGUGCAACAGUCUGGGCAGGCAUCACCAGUCAGCGCAAAACAGAUUUGGUUAUUGUAGAUGGCUCAGUCACUGCACGUUCUUACCUCAGAGACAUCAUAGAACCCAUCAUCAUCCCCCAAUUCCACCAGCACACCCCCAACUUUCUGUUCAUGGAUGAUGAUGCUCCACCACAUCGUGCCAGAUUUGUCACAGCUCGACUUCAGGAAGUCAGAGUGCCUCAUAUGGUAUGGCCAGCAAUGUCCCCUGACCUGAACCCCAUAGAGCACGUCUGGGACCUGCUGAAGCAGAGACUGGAUGAUCGUACCCCACCCCCACAUGACCGGGCAGAACUGCGUGUAGCACUUGUGGAAGAGUGGAACUCAUUGCUUCAGAACACCAUCAUGAGGCUAGUGAGGAGCAUGAGAUGUCGCUGUCAAGCUGUCAUUGCAGCAAAUGGUGGAAACACCCGCUACUGACAUUUUCAAUUUUUGUUAUUUGGGGCUAUCCUUGUUAUUGUCUAAAGUUUUGGGGUAAUAAACAUUAAACUAAUGAAAA
Toxotes jaculatrix (banded archerfish) is the source of this 2523-nucleotide long non-coding RNA. RefSeq lists it as uncharacterized. NCBI's taxonomy places the organism in Eukaryota, Metazoa, Chordata, Actinopteri, Toxotidae. The record is from RefSeq and is a predicted model, not a curated record. The transcript has 2 exons.